RNAcentral lists this ribosomal RNA (253 nucleotides) under uncultured bacterium. RNAcentral describes it as "partial 16S ribosomal RNA". It matches the Rfam family "Bacterial small subunit ribosomal RNA", at positions 524 to 776 of the family's 1533-position model. The record is from RNAcentral.
GACGGAGGGUGCAAGCGUUGCUCGGAAUCACUGGGCGUAAAGGGUGCGUAGGCGGUCUCGCAAGUCUGGCGUGAAAGCCCAAGGCUCAGCCUUGGAAGUGCGCUCGAAACGGCGAGGCUGGAGUGCCGGAGGGGAGAGUGGAAUUCCCGGUGUAGCGGUGAAAUGCGUAGAGAUGUGGAGGAACACCGAUGGCGAAGGCAGCCUCCUGGGCCAGCACUGACGCUCAUGCACGAAAGCGUGGGGAGCAAACAGG